UCACGUGGGACUCCCCCGACGGAAGGCAGACAGGAGCCAGGAGCCGUCUCGUAGUACACUUCUCUCAUUAACGCUGUCGAUCCUCUUCGAUGUCGCAGACGAAGUGCGUUAUGGCCGGGCAGAAACAGUGCAGUGUCCUUCUGUUCCACCGAGUCUUUGAAGAGCGUUCGGCGGGGAUUCUGCGCAGUGUAUCGUGGUCUUCGAGCAGCUUCAGCACUGGAUGGUCUACUUUAUUUUUUAUGAUGGAACAGUUCUAGAGUGUGAUGGACAAGAAGACGCUAUCAGCCAGAAACUGCGUGGAAAUACACGGUUGAUAAAGCACAGCGAUGUGGAGCCCUUCAGAAAAAAAACAUGAAACUAUUGAAGGAUGGUGUUUGUCUCUCCAAAGGAGAUAUCAGAGAAGUGGUGGACGAACUGAACCUGAAUUGCGAGAAGUAUGACGUUGUCUCCAACAACUGCCAGCACUGGAUCAAAAGGCUGCUAGGACGGCUGGGUGUCCCAGUGUCUGAGGUCGAUCUGAAAGAAGCCACUGCCAUUGGAGGUGCCUUCGUUGUAGGAGCCGUAGCUGCAGCUUCAGCUUCAGCCUUGCUCCGUUCUGCGUCUCGCAAGUCAGAAGACUAAAGACCUCCAGAUUUGGUCUCCUCAAUAAUCAAAUGCGUUCUCUCGAAGUUCGUUCUCGUUCGCUCGAAAGUUCGCGUUGCUGGUGUGUCAUUCUGACAUAUCAUAAAGGAAUAGAAAUGUUUUCGGCGUACUGGAGAGGGAGUUGCAACAACGUGAGGACUGUAAAUAGUAUGCCUCCUUGAAACUGAAUGUCGUUCACCACAGCUGAAGUGUUGGUAUUGUGAAGUCCUCGUGCUCUUGCCUCAGUUGUAGUUCCAACACUUGCCAAUUAAAUAAUACAUAUGGUCCA
This is an RNA transcript of Ornithodoros turicata, 910 nucleotides long. RefSeq lists it as uncharacterized. The transcript has 2 exons. NCBI's taxonomy places the organism in Eukaryota, Metazoa, Arthropoda, Arachnida, Ixodida, Argasidae. The record is from RefSeq and is a predicted model, not a curated record.